AUGGAGGAUGAUGAGUUGCACUUAUGGGUGCUGCGGUGCCGUGCAUUGCACACCUUGCAGAGCCAGGCUGCUGACAUAAGCAUGUGCACAGGGGCCAGCUGACUCCAU
Molecule: small nucleolar RNA, 108 nt
Organism: Rana temporaria (common frog)
Lineage: Eukaryota; Metazoa; Chordata; Amphibia; Anura; Ranidae
Product: small nucleolar RNA SNORD67
Exons: 1
Source: RefSeq, a predicted model, not a curated record